Molecule: ribosomal RNA, 274 nt
Filed under: uncultured bacterium
Lineage: Bacteria
Description: partial 16S ribosomal RNA
Rfam family: Bacterial small subunit ribosomal RNA
Source: RNAcentral
AUACGGAGGGUCCGAGCGUUAUCAGGAAUCAUUGGGUUUAAAGGGUCCGUAGGCGGGAAUCUAAGUCAGGGGGGAAAUCUUGCAGCUCAACUGUAAAAUUGCCAUUGAUACUGGAUUUCUUGAAUGAGUGUGAAGUGGUUAGAAUGUGUAGUGUAGCGGUGAAAUGCAUAGAUAUUACACAGAAUACCAAUUGCGAAGGCAGAUCACUAACACUAUAUUGACGCUAAGGGACGAAAGCGUGGGGAGCGAACAGGAUUAGAAACCCCAGUAGUCC